This 1771-nucleotide small RNA is filed under the name Pan troglodytes (chimpanzee). Its description in RNAcentral is "retained intron". Lineage: Eukaryota; Metazoa; Chordata; Mammalia; Primates; Hominidae. The record is from RNAcentral.
GGCAAGGAGGCCCAGAGCCACCCGCGGUGCCCAGGUGCGGGCAGUGUCCAUGGGCAGGACAGUGGGUCCUCUCCCUGCUGCGGGAUUUGGAGAGACCUGAGACUCCCCCAGCCUGUCUGCUGUAGCCGUCAGCGCCUGUGAAGGGGUGAUGUGUGCGCUGGGUGGGGUGGCGGGGAUAGGUUCUCAGUUCUGCUCCCCGGUCAGUGCUGGUCUUGGCUCUGGGCCACUGCCCCACCUGCACCUGGCCGCCUGGCUGUAAACACGGCUUGCAGAUGCCAGCUUCUCUCAACCCCUCUCCGCAGGCCGCCUCCCUCUGUCAGGCUGCGGGAACUCCUCCGUGUAGCCUCCACGAGAGGCCACGUGCCCUCCUGCCUCUCCUCGUGGCCGCUGGCCCUAGAGUAGACUCAUUUCAGGAAUGAGUGGGGUCUGGCCCGCAGCCCAGUCUGGCGGCUUCCAGUGCCCCUCAGAGGUUAGGCCACUCCUUCCAGGAGCGCUUUAGUGAGGGGGAGGGAGGGAGACGUACAGGCACCUGCAGAAAUCUCAGCGGCCUCUGCUUCUCCCUCGCUCCAGCCCCCAGACAGAGGUGGGGCCUGGCUUAGCCCUGUGCCCCUCGGGGAGGUGCGCGGAGCUGGGCGGCCUCAGGCCCCUCCUGCCCCGGGGCAGCCCUCACCUGGGCUACCUUGGAGGAGGCACCGUAGGGGAGACCACCUGCAACCUCUUCCCCGAAGGGCCCUGCGCUUCGUCACGGGCCCCUGAAUUUGGGGACCUCUGUGCUAAUGGGGCAUUUUCUGCGGUUUCCAGUGUUUCAUGCCCUGCAUCUCUGGAAAGCCCUGGUGGGAAUCGAGGUUCUCCUGGGGGGCCCCUAAUGGCGGGAGCUGUGAGGGGCUGUGCCGCCAGGUGCCUGUUCCCCAGUGGCUCCCAAAGCUGGUCUGUGGGAAGUGCGGCUGGACAGGCCCAGGGCACAGCGCACGGGCCUGGAGCAUUCACGGUGCUCUCCUUCACGGUGCCUGCAGGGAGUGAGGAUUCUUUGGACACCAGCCUGAGAGUUCACGGGGUCCACGCCACUAAGCAUGCGCCCGAGAAGCGGCCCCUGCCCAUUCGAAGGAAGAGAAGCAUCGAGGAAGCUGUCCCCGCUGUCUGCAAGACCAGGACGGUCAUUUACGAGAUUCCUCGGAGUCAGGUCGACCCCACAUCCGCCAACUUCCUGAUCUGGCCCCCGUGCGUGGAGGUGAAACGCUGCACCGGCUGCUGCAACACGAGCAGUGUCAAGUGCCAGCCCUCCCGUGUCCACCACCGCAGCGUCAAGGUGGCCAAGGUGGAAUACGUCAGGAAGAAGCCAAAAUUAAAAGAAGUCCAGGUGAGGUUAGAGGAGCAUUUGGAGUGCACCUGCGCGACCACCAGCCUGAAUCCGGAUUAUCGGGAAGAGGACACGGGUGAGUGGCUGCCUUCAUCGGCAUCGGUGUUGGAGAACAGGUCUUUAGAGCCUUGCUUUUGGGGUGUUAGGUGGCCCCCUUGAGCGCAACGCUUACUGCUGUGAGCAUCUGGGCUGCUGUUGAAGGAUUCGUUGCCCUGCUCCCGGGCCAGAUGCCUGCGGGGGAGACGGAUCCCGCACCUGCAGGUGUCUGGUGGGGAGGGUGGCCCAAGCUGCGGCACUGGCAGGAGAGGAGGUUCAGGUCUCACUGAGAGGGGCUGGGAGUGCAUAAGACACCCAACUCAUUAGUGGGCUGCGGGGCUGAGCUGAGAAGAAUCUGCAGAAGGGCCUCCUGCCAGG